Molecule: ribosomal RNA, 1336 nt
Filed under: Pomacea maculata
Lineage: Eukaryota; Metazoa; Mollusca; Gastropoda; Architaenioglossa; Ampullariidae
Description: large subunit ribosomal RNA
Rfam family: Bacterial large subunit ribosomal RNA
Source: RNAcentral
AAUAAUUUUAAAAAUAUAAUAUAAUUUAUAAAUUAAUAAAACAUUUAUUUAUUAGUAAAGGUGAUUAAAAAUAGUAUUUUAAGUAAAGUACUGUAAAGGAAUAUAUAAAGUUUUUAUUAAGUAGUAUAUUUUACGUACCUUUCGCAUCAUGGCUUUACAAGAAAAUAUAGAGUAAUAUCUAUAACUAGAAAUCUAAUGAGCUACUUUAAUUUAAAAUAAUAGUUUAACAUUAUGAGUGUAGCAAAACUCUGUUAAAAAAUUAAAGUUGUAGUAAAAUUCUAUUCGCAUUAGAUGAUAGCUAGUUCUUCUAAAAAUACAUAUAAGUGUAGUCUUAUAUUUAAAAUUUUUUUAUGCUUUAAAAAGAUUUUGAUACAUGAUCUGUAUAUUUAAGGAUAAGCUUAAAUAUUGUUUUAGAAAUAAAUUAAAAAAUUACUUCUAAGCUCGAAAUCAGCUAUGAUUAAUGAAAUCGUUAUAGAUUAUUAAUUUAUAUAUAAUAGAUAUAAUGAAUAUAUUUAUUGCUUAUAGAAGCGAAUAACUAAAUUUUUUAGUUAUUGUGUUUAUGUUAAGAUGAGUAUUUAUCUAAAUUUUAAAUAUUUUAUAAUCUAAAUUUUAAAAUAUAAAUUUUAUUUAUAUAUUUUAAAUCAAUAAAAGGAACUCGGCAAAUAAUAAUUUCGCCUGUUUAGCAAAAACAUGGCUCUUUGUUUAUUAAUUAUAAAGAGUCUAGCCUGCCCAGUGAUUUUUUUAACGGCCGCGGUACUUUGACCGUGCAAAGGUAGCAUAAUCAUUUGCCUUAUAAUUGAAGGCUAGUAUGAAAGGUUUAACGAAAGUUAGGCUGUCUUUUUUUGUAUAAAAUGAAAUUAACUUAUAAGUGCAAAGGCUUAUAUAUGACUAAAAGACAAGAAGACCCUAUUGAGCUUAUAAAAAUAUUAUGGAGUAAGGUAUAUAUGAAAAUUCUAAUCUUUUUAAAUUUUUAGUUGGGGCGACUUAGGAAUCAAAAAAACUUCCUAGUAUUAAAAUUACUUUUAUGUUUUAUCCAAAAUUUUUUGAUUAUCAGAAUUAGUUACCAUAGGGAUAACAGCAUAAUCUUUCUUAGGAGUUCUAAUCGAAAGAAAGGAUUGUGACCUCGAUGUUGGACUAGAAUACCCUAAAGGUGCAGAAGCUUUUGAGGGUUGGUCUGUUCGACCAUUAAUAAUUCUACAUGAUCUGAGUUCAGACCGGCGUAAGCCAGGUCAGUUUCUAUCUUUAGUUGCUUUAAUAGCUUUAGUACGAAAGGAUCAAGCUAGAGGAGUAAUAAACUCCUGUUUAUGACAUCUAUAAUAAAAUUUUGAAGUAUAUA